UACGGGGGGGGCAAGCGUUGUUCGGAAUUACUGGGCGUAAAGGGCUCGUAGGUGGCCAACUAAGUCGGACGUGAAAUCCCUCGGCUUAACCGGGGAACUGCGUCCGAUACUGGUUGGCUUGAGUUUGGGAGAGGGAUGCGGAAUUCCAGGUGUAGCGGUGAAAUGCGCAGAUAUCAGGAGGAACACCGGUGGCGAAGGCGGGUCUCUGGGCCGAUACUGACGCUGAGGAGCGAAAGCGUGGGGAGCGAACAGG
This 253-nucleotide ribosomal RNA is filed under the name uncultured bacterium. RNAcentral describes it as "partial 16S ribosomal RNA". It matches the Rfam family "Bacterial small subunit ribosomal RNA", at positions 524 to 776 of the family's 1533-position model. The record is from RNAcentral.